RNAcentral lists this ribosomal RNA (439 nucleotides) under Gracilibacteria bacterium canine oral taxon 323. Its description in RNAcentral is "bacterial SSU rRNA". It matches the Rfam family "Bacterial small subunit ribosomal RNA", at positions 9 to 458 of the family's 1533-position model. The record is from RNAcentral. Lineage: Bacteria; Candidatus Altimarinota.
GAGUUUGAUUCUGGCUCAGGGUGAACGCUAGCGGUGCGCCUAACACAUGCAAGUCGAGCGGGAGUAUUUUGUAGCUUGCUACAAAAUAUGAGAGCGGCGAACGGGUGAGUAACACGUUGGAAUCUGCCCCUAAGUCAGGGAUAGCCCAGGGAAACCUGGAUUAAUACCGGAUAGUCUCUUUGGAGUAAAAAUUUAUUGCUUAGGGAGGAGCCUGCGUACUAUCAGCUAGUUGGUGAGGUAAGAGCUUACCAAGGCAAUGACGGUUAACUGGUCUGAGAGGAUGAUCAGUCACAAUGGAACUGAGACACGGUCCAUACUCCUACGGGAGGCAGCAGUGAGGAAUCUUCCACAAUGGACGAAAGUCUGAUGGAGCGACACCGCGUGAAGGAUGAAGGCCUAACGGUUGUAAACUUCUUUUCUGAAGGAGCAUAAUGAGAGU